CACUGGUCUUGUAAACCAAAAAUGGAGGACACAACUCUCCCUAAGACU
RNAcentral lists this transfer RNA (48 nucleotides) under Phoca largha (spotted seal). RNAcentral's name for it is "partial tRNA-Thr". The record is from RNAcentral. Lineage: Eukaryota; Metazoa; Chordata; Mammalia; Carnivora; Phocidae.